This 376-nucleotide ribosomal RNA is filed under the name uncultured bacterium. RNAcentral's name for it is "bacterial SSU rRNA". It matches the Rfam family "Bacterial small subunit ribosomal RNA", at positions 28 to 402 of the family's 1533-position model. The record is from RNAcentral.
GACGAACGCUGGCGGCGUGCUUAACACAUGCAAGUCGAGCGGUAAGGCUCCUUCGGGAGUACACGAGCGGCGAACGGGUGAGUAACACGUGAGCAAUCUGCCCUUCACAUCGGAAUAACCUCGGGAAACCGAGGCUAAUACCGGAUAUGACCAUCGGUGGCAUCAUCUGAUGGUAGGAAAGUUCCGGCGGGUGGGGGAUGAGCUCGCGGCCUAUCAGCUUGUUGGNGGGGUAAUGGCCUACCAAGGCGACGACGGGUAGCCGGCCUGAGAGGGUGACCGGCCACACUGGGACUGAGACACGGCCCAGACUCCUACGGGAGGCGGCAGGUGGGGAAUAUUGGACAAUGGGCGAAAGCCUGAUCCAGCAACGCCGCGU